This 333-nucleotide ribosomal RNA is filed under the name Triticum aestivum (bread wheat). RNAcentral's name for it is "partial small subunit ribosomal RNA". Lineage: Eukaryota; Viridiplantae; Streptophyta; Magnoliopsida; Poales; Poaceae. The record is from RNAcentral.
AUGUUUAGUUGCCUAGAACGCGAUCUGUCAGCCCAAGAUUUUCGGUGCCUGGGAGUGAAAAACCUCCAGCUCCAAGCUCUGGCUUUGCGCGUACAGUGGGAAUGGCUUCGCCACACUGAUCAGGCAAGGCAAUGGACCCAAGGUGUUGUUUUGGAAAGAUCGUUGGCUUCACAGCACAAUACCGCUCAUUGCGAACCCGCGGUCCUCUCUCUGGUGCCCACGCGAGCCCAAAACCAGCGCAUGGUCUCUCAAGCCCUCGCAACGGAUAGAUGGGAGUCUGACAUCCAAGGUGAGAUCCCUUUCAUGGCCCUGAUUGAACUCGUGCACCUGUGA